GUCCAGACUCCUACGGGAGGCAGCAGUGGGGAAUAUUGCACAAUGGGGGGAACCCUGAUGCAGCGACGCCGCGUGAGGGAAGAAGGUUUUUGGAUUGUAAACCUCUGUCCUUGGUAAAGAAGCAAGACGGUAGCCAAGGAGGAAGCCACGGCUAACUACGUGCCAGCAGCCGCGGUAAUACGUAGGGGGCGAGCGUUGUCCGGAAUCACUGGGCGUAAAGGGAGCGUAGGCGGCGCGUUAAGUCUGAUGUGAAAACCCGAGGCUCAACCACGGGAGUGCAUUGGAAACUGGCGGGCUGGAGUGCCGGAGAGGUAAGCGGAAUUCCUAGUGUAGCGGUGAAGUGCGUAGAUAUUAGGAGGAACACCAGUGGCGAAGGCGGCUUACUGGACGGCAACUGACGCUGAGGCUCGAAAGCGUGGGGAGCAAACAGGAUUAGAUACCCCCGUACA
Molecule: ribosomal RNA, 449 nt
Filed under: uncultured bacterium
Lineage: Bacteria
Description: partial 16S ribosomal RNA
Rfam family: Bacterial small subunit ribosomal RNA
Source: RNAcentral